AUACAAUCUGUUUGAACAAUAGUAUUUUCUCUGAGAUAUAUAAAAUUUCUAAAUAUUUUGUACUUGCUUUAAACAAAAGAUGCAAUCAAUGAAUAGCUAGUGAAAUGAAUUAUAUUAUACAAAACUUGUGUAUAGAAACACAUUUUUUCAGAAGCAGUGGAUGCAGAAGAGAGAUAUGAAAAAUAAAGAGAGAGAUCACUGAAGAUAUAUAAUAUCUCUAAGAAAGUGAAUGAAAGUGAGGAAUCAGUGUGAGAGAAGAGAGAGGAAUUGAUGUGAAUAGAAGAGAUAGAAUUGAGAGCAGCAGAGAAAGCAC
RNAcentral lists this small RNA (313 nucleotides) under Histoplasma capsulatum. Its description in RNAcentral is "hypothetical RNA". Lineage: Eukaryota; Fungi; Ascomycota; Eurotiomycetes; Onygenales; Ajellomycetaceae. The record is from RNAcentral. RNAcentral also lists the same sequence under 1 other name.